This 399-nucleotide long non-coding RNA is filed under the name Monodelphis domestica (gray short-tailed opossum). RNAcentral's name for it is "lncRNA (ENSMODG00000035705.2)". The record is from RNAcentral. Lineage: Eukaryota; Metazoa; Chordata; Mammalia; Didelphimorphia; Didelphidae.
AUGCAUCUCUGUAGUUUUAGAGCAGAAGCCAUGUCAGCAUAUUAUAAAGAAAUGAAUACCAACCAGAUGAGAGAAGACUUGUAUUCCAAUCCUGCCUUUCAUGCUUACUGUCCAUUCAACCUUGGGAAAGUCACCUAAACUGCUUUGAAUCUCAUUUUUGUCAUCUUUAAAAUGAGUUAGAUAUAUUUGACGGUUUAUAAAAUCCUCUCUGGCUCUACAUCUUUGAUAUUAUGAUUCUUCUUUCUCCCUCUGCUGCCUUCACCAACAAGCUAACUCUUCACAACUCAAUUUAUUGAAGGAAUCCUUUUCAAUAAGCAGGGUAACCUUCUCAGAGAAGUACACCAAACUUCUCAAUCUAUAGAGAUAUAUUAGAGACAAUAAAGAAACUGUAGAGACACA